Molecule: non-coding RNA, 31 nt
Filed under: Homo sapiens (human)
Lineage: Eukaryota; Metazoa; Chordata; Mammalia; Primates; Hominidae
Source: RNAcentral
UGGAAACCAUGUAUGUGGUGAUGGAGUACGC